This 637-nucleotide ribosomal RNA is filed under the name uncultured Anaplasma sp. Its description in RNAcentral is "bacterial SSU rRNA". It matches the Rfam family "Bacterial small subunit ribosomal RNA", at positions 138 to 809 of the family's 1533-position model. The record is from RNAcentral. Lineage: Bacteria; Pseudomonadati; Pseudomonadota; Alphaproteobacteria; Rickettsiales; Anaplasmataceae.
AUGGGAUAGCCACUAGAAAUGGUGGGUAAUACUGUAUAAUCCCUGCGGGGGAAAGAUUUAUCGCUAUUAGAUGAGCCUAUGUUAGAUUAGCUAGUUGGUAGGGUAAAGGCCUACCAAGGCAGUGAUCUAUAGCUGGUCUGAGAGGAUGAUCAGCCACACUGGAACUGAGAUACGGUCCAGACUCCUACGGGAGGCAGCAGUGGGGAAUAUUGGACAAUGGGCGCAAGCCUGAUCCAGCUAUGCCGCGUGAGUGAGGAAGGCCUUAGGGUUGUAAAACUCUUUCAGUGGGGAAGAUAAUGACGGUACCCACAGAAGAAGUCCCGGCAAACUCCGUGCCAGCAGCCGCGGUAAUACGGAGGGGGCAAGCGUUGUUCGGAAUUAUUGGGCGUAAAGGGCAUGUAGGCGGUUCGGUAAGUUAAAGGUGAAAUGCCAGGGCUUAACCCUGGAGCUGCUUUUAAUACUGCCAGACUAGAGUCCGGGAGAGGAUAGCGGAAUUCCUAGUGUAGAGGUGAAAUUCGUAGAUAUUAGGAGGAACACCAGUGGCGAAGGCGGCUGUCUGGUCCGGUACUGACGCUGAUGUGCGAAAGCGUGGGGAGCAAACAGGAUUAGAUACCCUGGUAGUCCACGCUGUAAACGA